RNAcentral lists this signal recognition particle RNA (100 nucleotides) under Muribaculaceae bacterium. RNAcentral's name for it is "signal recognition particle sRNA small type". It matches the Rfam family "Bacteroidales small SRP", at positions 9 to 102 of the family's 107-position model. From Rfam's summary of the family: The non-coding component of the signal recognition particle in Bacteroides Lineage: Bacteria; Pseudomonadati; Bacteroidota; Bacteroidia; Bacteroidales; Muribaculaceae. The record is from RNAcentral.
GGGUAAGUCCUGUACGACUGCUCCCUUCCCAACUCCGCCAGGUCUUGAUCGAAGCAACGGUAGGAAGGUUGUAGCGGUGCGAUGCAGAUCGCUUACCUUU